GAUUAUUUACAGAACAAGACAGCUUUUAUUUACAAAUACAUCAGAAGCUCUUAUUGUGGGUCUUGUUUUGGGAACCAUCUACAUCAACAUUGGAUUCGACAAGCAAGGUAUCGAAAAGAGGUUUGGUCUCUUUGCCUUCACUCUCACAUUUCUUCUCUCUUCCACUACUGAAACACUCCCAAUCUUCAUCAAUGAAAGGCCAAUUAUACUAAGAGAAACUUCAAGCGGGGUUUAUAGACUCUCAUCUUAUCUAGUAGCAAACACUCUUGUCUUCUUGCCAUACUUGCUUGCAAUCGCUAUCAU
Molecule: unclassified non-coding RNA, 303 nt
Filed under: Hevea brasiliensis (rubber tree)
Lineage: Eukaryota; Viridiplantae; Streptophyta; Magnoliopsida; Malpighiales; Euphorbiaceae
Source: RNAcentral